This is a long non-coding RNA of Mustela erminea (ermine), 1274 nucleotides long. RefSeq lists it as uncharacterized. NCBI's taxonomy places the organism in Eukaryota, Metazoa, Chordata, Mammalia, Carnivora, Mustelidae. The record is from RefSeq and is a predicted model, not a curated record. The transcript has 3 exons.
GCAAAGCAAAAGCUUUCUCUGCCACCCUGUCCUGUUCCCCACUUUCCUUCCUCCAUUCACUCGGUCCGGGUCUUGGCCUCACUCCAGGCUCAGGCUUUUUUCUUUGAUUCCAUUCUCUCUUCUUGUUUUCAAAUCAUUUUCUAUCCACACCUCUUUGACAUCAUGUUUUCAGCUUUACUAGUAUGGACCUAAAUCUAGUCCCAAUGCCCCCAACUCUAAAUCUAUAUGACCACAAUUUUCAAUGUAUGCCAGGACUGACUGGAUCUUAAUGUGGCAGGUGUUAGGGAAGGGAGUGCAAAGAGUCUAUAAGUCUAGGUGUGAAAGGGGCCAAGGGAAGGGGCUUGUGACGAUUCUCAUCUGUGACUCCUUCUCCAGUUAUCUUCCCCUCCUUUGGUGAAGCUUAUUUCAGAUUCAUAGGUCAAAUACUUCCAACUAAAUCUUUGAAUUCAUCAUUGUUUUUACAGACAGAUUAUUUUGCAUUGUAUUUAUUAUAGAGGACCUCAGCAGGCUGCUGGUUAAGAACAUUCUCAAGUCAGCAUUACUAUUUUCCAGAUUGUGUCCAUUAGUGCCUGGUGACAGGAAUCACCUAGUGUCUUUAUUUAAAAUGUCCACUCCCAGGUCCACCCCAGGCCUAGUAAAUUAGAAUGAGGGGCAGAAAUCUGUAUUUUUAAUGAGCACCCUAGUGAUUCCGGGGCUCAAUAAAGUCUGAGAAACACUGUCUAAGCUCAUUGCCCAAUAACCCACUAGGGCAUAAUAGAAAAUUUAGCAGUGAUUUGAAGGGUGUUCAUUGUGGUUGGGCAAGAAGAGGAGCUUCUCAUCUCCAGUGCCGUGAUUUGCUCACCUUUGAAGAAUAGGGUGAGAACUGGUGGAUCCAAGAGGUAUUGAGAAAGAAACCCUUCUCUGUUGCCUUUUGAUUACCUUCAUAAGAUUAAAGUUGCAUUUCUAAUUCAUGAUUUUGGUGGUUUCGACAGCCUCUAGAUGUACCAUAAAUUUGCAAAGAGAAGAGCCCAGAAGUUCCAGGAGACAAACCUGGAGCCCAUGUCAGCAUUUUGUGCUCACUAAAGCAGAAAAGGAGAUAGAGGUACUAGAGAUGCUUAGCAAUUAAGUUACUUCCUGUAAGCCUCAGUUCCAUCUUGCCUUCUGUAAAAGGGAUAUGAGAGAGGAAGUUGUUGUACUGAGUUUGCACUAAAUUAUUGCACUAAAUUUGCAUCAAACUAUUGUUAUUUAUUGUUUUGUUUGUAUCACUCCUGUUCUUCUUGCAUUUACAGCUUAAU